GCCACAUCAUGUUGAAACACCAGUUCUUGUACGAUUACUGAAGUUAAGCAAUAUCAAGCCUGGUCAGUAUCUAGAUGGGUGACCACUUGGGAAUACCAGGUGCUGUAA
RNAcentral lists this ribosomal RNA (108 nucleotides) under Acanthosepion pharaonis. Lineage: Eukaryota; Metazoa; Mollusca; Cephalopoda; Sepiida; Sepiidae. The record is from RNAcentral.